AGAGUUUGAUCCUGGCUCAGGAUGAACGCUGGCGGCGUGCCUAACACAUGCAAGUCGAACGAAAAGGUCCCUUCGGGGAUACUUCAGUGGCGGACGGGUGAGUAACACGUAGGUGACCUGCCCCGAAGUGUGGAAUAACAGUCCGAAAGGAUUGCUAAUACCGCAUGUGGUCUGUGAGGUUAGAGUCUUGCAGACUAAAGCAGUAAUGCGCUUCGGGAGGGGCCUGCGCCCCAUCAGCUAGUUGGUAGGGUAAUGGCCUACCAAGGCAACAACGGGUAGGGGGCCUGAGAGGGUGACCCCCCACAUUGGCACUGACACACGGGCCAAACUCCUACGGGAGGCAGCAGUGAGGAAUAUUGCUCAAUGGGCGAAAGCCUGAAGCAGCAACGCCGCGUGCGCGAUGAAGGCCUUCGGGUCGUAAAGCGCUUUUGAGGGGGACGAGAUAGGACGGUACCUCUCGAAUAAGUCACGGCUAACUACGUGCCAGCAGCCGCGGUAAAACGUAGGUGGCAAGCGUUAUCCGGAUUCACUGGGCGUAAAGCGCGUGCAGGUGGCUUCGUAAGUUGGACGUUAAAUCUCCCGGCCUAACCGGGAGGAGUCGUUCAAUACUGCGGGGCUGGAGGGCAGAAGAGGGGGGUGGAAUUGCUGGUGUAGCGGUGAAAUGCGUAGAUAUCAGCAGGAACACCCGUGGCGAAAGCGGCCCCCUGGUCUGCUCCUGACACUCAGACGCGAAAGCUAGGGGAGUGAACGGGAUUAGAAACCCCGGUAAUCCUAGCCGUAAACGAUGGAUGCUAGGUGUGGGUGGUAUUGACCCCAUCCGUGCCGAAGCCAACGCGUUAAGCAUCCCGCCUGGGGACUACGGCCGCAAGGUUAAAACUCAAA
Molecule: ribosomal RNA, 882 nt
Filed under: uncultured bacterium
Lineage: Bacteria
Description: bacterial SSU rRNA
Rfam family: Bacterial small subunit ribosomal RNA
Source: RNAcentral